This 629-nucleotide ribosomal RNA is filed under the name uncultured bacterium. Its description in RNAcentral is "bacterial SSU rRNA". It matches the Rfam family "Bacterial small subunit ribosomal RNA", at positions 9 to 654 of the family's 1533-position model. The record is from RNAcentral.
GAGUUUGAUCCUGGCUCAGGACGAACGCUGGCGGCGUGCUUAAUACAUGCAAGUCGAUCGCUCUCGACCUUCGGGUCACAUGAGAGAGUGGCGAACGGGUGCGUAACACGUGAGAAACCUGCCCCAAAGACGGGAAUAGCCCGAGGAAACUCAGAUUAAUACCCGAUAUCUCCACAAUGCCGCAUGGCAAUGUGAAGAAAGUUCAGGCGCUUUGGGAGGGUCUCGCGGCCUAUCAGCUUGUUGGUGAGGUAACGGCUCACCAAGGCAUCGACGGGUAGCUGGUCUGAGAGGACGAUCAGCCACACUGGGACUGAGACACGGCCCAGACUCCUACGGGAGGCAGCAGUAGGGAAUCUUGCGCAAUGGGCGAAAGCCUGACGCAGCAACGCCGCGUGGGGGAUGAAUGCCUUCGGGCUGUAAACCCCUUUCAGCAGGGACGAAAAUGACGGUACCUGCAGAAGAAGCUCCGGCCAACUACGUGCCAGCAGCCGCGGUAAUACGUAGGGAGCGAGCGUUGUCCGGAAUUAUUGGGCGUAAAGAGCUCGUAGNCGGUUCGGUAAGUCGGGUGUGAAAACUCAAGGCUCAACCUUGAGACGCCACUCGAUACUGCUGUGACUUGAGUCCGGUAG